AUUAGAUACCCUGGUAGUCCGCACGGUAAACGAUGGAUGCCCGCCGUUGGGUAUUUUUAUUCAGCGGCCAAGCGAAAGCGUUAAGCAUCCCACCUGGGGAGUACGCCGGCAACGGUGAAACUCAAAGGAAUUGACGGGGGCCCGCACAAGCGGAGGAACAUGUGGUUUAAUUCGAUGAUACGCGAGGAACCUUACCCGGGCUUGAAUUGCAGAUGACGGAUCCAGAGAUGGUGACUUCCUUCGGGACAUCUGUGAAGGUGCUGCAUGGUUGUCGUCAGCUCGUGCCGUGAGGUGUCGGCUUAAGUGCCAUAACGAGCGCAACCCCUUUCGUCAGUUGCCAUCGGGUAAUGCCGGGCACUCUGGCGACACUGCCGCCGCAAGGUGUGAGGAAGGUGGGGAUGACGUCAAAUCAGCACGGCCCUUACGUCCGGGGCUACACACGUGUUACAAUGGGGCGUACAGAGAGUUGGUCAUGCGCAAGCAUGAUCGGAUCAUGAAAGUGUCCCUCAGUUCGGACUGGGGUCUGCAACCCGACCCCACGAAGCUGGAUUCGCUAGUAAUCGCGCAUCAGCCAUGGCGCGGUGAAUACGUUCCCGGGCCUUGUACACACCGCCCGUCAAGCCAUGAAAGCCGGGGGCGCCUGAAGUCCGUGACCGCGAAAAUGGGCCUAGGGUGAAACCGGUGAUUGGGGCUAAGUCGUAACAAGGUACC
RNAcentral lists this ribosomal RNA (711 nucleotides) under uncultured bacterium. RNAcentral's name for it is "bacterial SSU rRNA". It matches the Rfam family "Bacterial small subunit ribosomal RNA", at positions 777 to 1500 of the family's 1533-position model. The record is from RNAcentral.